Molecule: non-coding RNA, 206 nt
Organism: Pelobates cultripes (western spadefoot toad)
Lineage: Eukaryota; Metazoa; Chordata; Amphibia; Anura; Pelobatidae
Source: the annotation of a GenBank genome assembly
UGGGGAUACUGCUCUAGCCGGGUGUCAGUCACAGCAUGGCGGGUACGGGGAUACUGCGCUAGCCGGGGGCCAGUCACAGCAUGGCGGGUACUGUGCCAGUCACAGCAUGGCGGGUACGGGGAUACUGCGCUAGCCGGGUGCCAGUCACAGCAUGGCGGGUACGGGGAUACUGCGCUUUGUGUCCGCCAUGUUGGGGUUGGCUAUCC